This 526-nucleotide long non-coding RNA is filed under the name Mytilus galloprovincialis (Mediterranean mussel). Lineage: Eukaryota; Metazoa; Mollusca; Bivalvia; Mytilida; Mytilidae. The record is from RNAcentral.
AGCCAAAAUCAAAAUUUAGAAUAUGACCUUAACCUUUGACCUUGACCUCAUUUUCAUUUUUUUGGACCAAUGACCUCAAAUCUAAAGACCCUUGGUCUCUAUCACUUAUGGUUUACCAUUUAGAAAUGCAUAUCACUUAAUUCAAAUGAAAAUGGGGAAUAACUCUCAUAUGGAGUCUCCGUAAAGCUUCGGUCCAAAUGAAUAUCCUAAUCCUUAAGAUGUAACGAGCAAUUUGGUAAAAUAAAUUUGUCGUUAUCUUUUACGGUUGCGAAGGAAUAGUGGCCACAAGAAAAACAGUGUUUAGGGAGAUAACUCUUACAAGGUUAAGUACUUUGUUACGCGGUUGUCAUUUUUUAAAGCGUAUAAACUAUACGAUAUCAUAUUCCAAAUAUCUAAGCGAGAUCUUUUGAAACAACAAAACUACGCAAGAAAAAAAUUUAGGCGGAAGAAGAAAAAUAAUAAUAAUCAGAACAAAACCUAUAGGUCUUUCCACGGAAAAGUGGAAAGACCUAAUAAUAAUAAUAAU